Ovis aries (sheep) is the source of this 72-nucleotide transfer RNA. It matches the Rfam family "tRNA". Rfam says of the family: Transfer RNA (tRNA) molecules are approximately 80 nucleotides in length. Their secondary structure includes four short double-helical elements and three loops (D, anti-codon, and T loops). Further hydrogen bonds mediate the characteristic L-shaped molecular structure. tRNAs have two regions of fundamental functional importance: the anti-codon, which is responsible for specific mRNA codon recognition, and the 3' end, to which the tRNAs corresponding amino acid is attached (by aminoacyl-tRNA synthetases). tRNAs cope with the degeneracy of the genetic code in two manners: having more than one tRNA (with a specific anti-codon) for a particular amino acid; and 'wobble' base-pairing, i.e. permitting non-standard base-pairing at the 3rd anti-codon position. NCBI's taxonomy places the organism in Eukaryota, Metazoa, Chordata, Mammalia, Artiodactyla, Bovidae. The record is from Rfam.
UCCCUGGUAGCUUAGCCGGUAAAGUGUCUGCCUACAAUGCAGGAGACCCAGGUUCGAUCCCUGGGUUGGGAA